UACGUAGGGGGCGAGCGUUGUCCGAAUUCACUGGGCGUAAAGCGCGCGUAGGCGGACUUUUAAGUUGGGGGUGAAAUGCCGAGGCUCAACCUCGGAACUGCCUCCAAAACUGGGAGUCUUGAGGUAUGGAGAGGGAAGUGGAAUUCCAGGUGUAGCGGUGAUAUGCGUAGAUAUCUGGAGGAACACCCGUGGCGAAGGCGGCUUCCUGGUCAUAUCCUGACGCUGAGGUGAGAAAGCCAGGGGAGCGAACGGG
This 253-nucleotide ribosomal RNA is filed under the name uncultured bacterium. Its description in RNAcentral is "partial 16S ribosomal RNA". It matches the Rfam family "Bacterial small subunit ribosomal RNA", at positions 524 to 776 of the family's 1533-position model. The record is from RNAcentral.